CCUACGGGUGGCAGCAGUGGGGAAUAUUGGACAAUGGGCGAAAGCCUGAUCCAGCCAUGCCGCGUGUGUGAAGAAGGCCUUCGGGUUGUAAAGCACUUUCAGUGGGGAAGAAAGCCUUGGGGCUAAUACCCUCGAGGAAGGACAUCACCCACAGAAGAAGCACCGGCUAACUCCGUGCCAGCAGCCGCGGUAAUACGGAGGGUGCGAGCGUUAAUCGGAAUUACUGGGCGUGAAGCGCGCGUAGGCGGUCUGAUAAGCCGGUUGUGAAAGCCCCGGGCUCAACCUGGGAACGGCAUCCGGAACUGUCAGGCUAGAGUGCAGGAGAGGAAGGUAGAAUUCCCGGUGUAGCGGUGAAAUGCGUAGAGAUCGGGAGGAAUACCAGUGGCGAAGGCGGUCUUCUGGACUGACACUGACGCUGAGGUGCGAAAGCGUGGGUAGCAAACAGGAUUAGAUACCCUGGUAGUC
Molecule: ribosomal RNA, 465 nt
Filed under: Vreelandella stevensii
Lineage: Bacteria; Pseudomonadati; Pseudomonadota; Gammaproteobacteria; Oceanospirillales; Halomonadaceae
Description: partial 16S ribosomal RNA
Rfam family: Bacterial small subunit ribosomal RNA
Source: RNAcentral